Molecule: long non-coding RNA, 2001 nt
Organism: Leopardus geoffroyi (Geoffroy's cat)
Lineage: Eukaryota; Metazoa; Chordata; Mammalia; Carnivora; Felidae
Exons: 5
Source: RefSeq, a predicted model, not a curated record
CUGGACUGCGGCCCCGUGGCUCUGGCCAAUAAAUUGCCGAGCUGAGAGAGGAAGACCAAUCAGAGCACCCGAAAGGCGGGAACAGAGGCUCGUUUGCCGCACUGAAAGCGGAAGUAUUAAUUCUGCCGCCUCUCGUUGGCUCGAGUAAGUCAGGUGACCAAAGGCUAAAGCCAAUGGCAGGAUCUGGGGCUGGUCAGGAAACGUCUGUUUUGGACUCCUAACCUGGGUUAGGUACGUGGGAGUGUCGCGUAAUUCGCGUCCACAGAGCGGUGAAAAGGGAAGUGUCGAGGCUGUAGGGGGUCCUGAGUCCGCUCUGCGGUUCAGCGGGGUUAGGACGCACAGGUGUUAAAGGCCCUCCGAGAAAGGGAGGCGCUGGCCUAGGGGCUGAGGGUACUGCGAACCUGGAAUCACCGCGUUUCCCGCUGCUCUGUCCGGCCCCGCCAGGCCCAAUAAAGAGCAAAGCAAAACUUCCCAACCGAAAGAGGAAAGAUCCCUGCCGGGAAAUCUGGGACUUUACCGGCUCAUGGGACUAUGUGUGUGACCUUCAGCCCGUUGUUCAACUUCUCCCCUAGCUUCUGUAAAAUCUUUGGCUUGGAUUCAAAAGGCUGCACACCAUCAUGGGGCUUGAACUCACACAACCAUGAGAUCAAGAGUCGCAUGCUCUACUGACUGAGCCAGCCAGCCGCCCCUCUACAGGUGAUUCCUACUGUGAGGCUGGGCUGAGGACUACUGCACUAAAUGAUUUGGAUGAUAGCUACCAUUUCUUUGGCAUCUAGAACCAUUACAUUGAUGGAUGUUUUACACUCAGUAUAAAUAAUCCUCAUGAUUGUUCUGGGAGUUAAGUAUGUCCCUUUUUACAUAUGUAAAACCCAAGUCCCGGAAGUGGCUUGCCCAAAUUCACGUGGCCUCUAAGUGGUUUUGCUGACCAACUGCAGGGCCAAGUGUUUUUCUCCAUCUUUCUCAGGAAAAGAAGAUGGUAAUGAGCCCAAUAGAAGUAACAAGCCCUGUGAUGGGUAAAGCUCCACACAACUGUCAGGGGCCUUUGAUAACCUGCAUCGAGUAUUUCCAUCAAGCGCUACAGGCUGCUAAGAAGGCUGUACAUCCUGACAGUAAUAACGGCCACCAUUCAAUGGACACAGAGCUAAGCACUGCCUGCUGUUUGUCCUCCUUAUCUUAUUUAAUCCUCACAACCCACUGAAGGCAUGCUGUUAUCCCAGUUUUAUAAGAAACUGAGGCUCAGAGGGGUUAAACCAUCUGUCCAAGGUCACAGAGGCAGGGAAGGAGUGUGCCCUCCAACACCCUGCCAUGGGGCUGGCAGAGCCUCUGGCAGCCCAUCUGCUCAGGUUUCCAACUCCCAGGCCACACUUGGCUCUUCGCAGCUCCAGGAAAGGCUGAAGAGGUCAUCACAUUACCUACCACUUCUCAGGAGAGGGUUCUGAGUGCCAGGCAGGGCUCUGCCAUUGGAUCUCCCUUAACCUCACAAGGACCGGCAAGGCGGGUAUUGCUGACCCCACUUCACAGAUGCGGAAAAGGAGGCUCAGGAAGGUUAAGUGACUUGCCCGGGCUCACAGAGCCAGCCGGUAAGUGGCCACGACCAGGAUCUCAGCCUGGAGUCUGACUCCGUAACCGCAAGGCUCAGGGAAGGGGGGAGCCCGAGUCGCGCUCACUGCGCCAAGGCGGCCAAACUUUCUCUCCCCAGCCCGCGCGCCCCCAGUGGAGGCUCUGGCCCCCAUCCUGCUCCUGGCGGUGGCCACCUCACCGGGGGACCGGCGCGGAUCCCGGAGGUCGCCUCCCACCUCGGACUUCAGACUCCGGCCUCCCACCCACACGUCGCCCAUUGCCUCCCUGCGCGGUCGGCUCCGCCCCGCCCGGGGCCCUCACCAUCGCUGCUGCCGCCGCUGGGCCGGCUCCCGCUCCUCUGUCGCCGAGCGGCCGCGGUGCCACACACCCGGGAGGAAGCGGAGGGGCGGGGCCGCGGCCGCGGGGGCGGGGGGCGCGCCU